CCUACGGGUGGCAGCAGUGAGGAAUAUUGGUCAAUGGGCGCGAGCCUGAACCAGCCAUGUCGCGUGCAGGAUGACUGCCCUACGGGUUGUAAACUGCUUUUAUAAAGGAGUAAAGUGAGGCACGUGUGCCUUUUUGUAUGUACUUUAUGAAUAAGGAUCGGCUAACUCCGUGCCAGCAGCCGCGGUAAUACGGAGGAUCCGAGCGUUAUCCGGAUUUAUUGGGUUUAAAGGGAGCGUAGACGGGCUGUUAAGUUAGUGGUGAAAGUCUGCGGCUCAACCGCAAAAUUGCAAUUGAUACUGGCAGUCUUGAGUACAGUUGAGGUAGGCGGAAUGCGUGGUGUAGCGGUGAAAUGCUUAGAGAUCACGAAGAACUCCGAUUGCGAAGGCAGCUUACUAAGCUGCCACUGACAUUGAUGCUCGAAAGUGUGGGUAGCAAACAGGAUUAGAUACCCGGGUAGUC
Molecule: ribosomal RNA, 460 nt
Filed under: uncultured bacterium
Lineage: Bacteria
Description: partial 16S ribosomal RNA
Rfam family: Bacterial small subunit ribosomal RNA
Source: RNAcentral